UACGUAGGGUCCGAGCGUUGUCCGGAAUUAUUGGGCGUAAAGAGCUCGUAGGCGGCGUGUCGCGUCUGCUGUGAAAGACCGGGGCUUAACUCCGGUUCUGCAGUGGAUACGGGCAUGCUAGAGGUAGGUAGGGGAGACUGGAAUUCCUGGUGUAGCGGUGAAAUGCGCAGAUAUCAGGAGGAACACCGGUGGCGAAGGCGGGUCUCUGGGCCUUACCUGACGCUGAGGAG
RNAcentral lists this ribosomal RNA (230 nucleotides) under uncultured microorganism. Its description in RNAcentral is "partial 16S ribosomal RNA". It matches the Rfam family "Bacterial small subunit ribosomal RNA", at positions 524 to 753 of the family's 1533-position model. The record is from RNAcentral.